ACACAUAUAGCGCAUAAUGCUUGUAUUUAAAAAAGACUAAAUGAUUAGUGAGAGAUUUAUAAAAGGCAGCAGAAGCAUAUGAUGAUGUGUAUAAAAAUUUGAAUUUGAAUUUGGUGAGUGAGAUGCAUUAUUGGGAAAGCUUUUGAGCUAAUUAGCAGCAGAGUGAUGAAAUCACACCCUUGUUAAGCUGGCCUUGUUGGCCAUAAAUCCAUUGAAAUUCAAGCUACACAUGCAUAGCAAUAUGUAUAUGGUAGUGUAUUAUUACUGUUGGCUCGCAAAGCGAAAGCUACACUACACAUGGGUCACCAUCUCCACGUGAAAUUUCAUCAACAAGACACGUGCAUCCCACAGAGGUUCCCUCAGUUUUUGCAGGAAGCCCUUGGAAAGAUAACCACAGUGGAUAAGCAUCAGAGGAAUACGAGGCAAAAAAUAAAUGUUCACAACUUCAAAAGAUGAACAUCAAAUUUUAUUAUAAGAAUAUUGAAGCCAUUACUUUAUUUUGCCGUUAAAGGGACUCUUAUGAAACGGUGGUGGUGUUAAAAUGGGUACAUUUUGUGACUGGAAAAAAGAACUAGCUUUUCAAAU
This 585-nucleotide long non-coding RNA is filed under the name Phaseolus vulgaris (common bean). RNAcentral describes it as "long non-coding RNA (PVUL_LNC002397)". The record is from RNAcentral. Lineage: Eukaryota; Viridiplantae; Streptophyta; Magnoliopsida; Fabales; Fabaceae.